This 905-nucleotide ribosomal RNA is filed under the name uncultured bacterium. Its description in RNAcentral is "bacterial SSU rRNA". It matches the Rfam family "Bacterial small subunit ribosomal RNA", at positions 8 to 871 of the family's 1533-position model. The record is from RNAcentral.
AGAGUUUGAUCCUGGCUCAGGACGAACGCUGGCGGCGUGCCUAAUACAUGCAAGUCGAGCGAGCUUGCCUAGAUGAUUUUAGUGCUUGCACUAAAUGAAACUAGAUACAAGCGAGCGGCGGACGGGUGAGUAACACGUGGGUAACCUGCCCAAGAGACUGGGAUAACACCUGGAAACAGAUGCUAAUACCGGAUAACAACACUAGACGCAUGUCUAGAGUUUGAAAGAUGGUUCUGCUAUCACUCUUGGAUGGACCUGCGGUGCAUUAGCUAGUUGGUAAGGUAACGGCUUACCAAGGCAAUGAUGCAUAGCCGAGUUGAGAGACUGAUCGGCCACAUUGGGACUGAGACACGGCCCAAACUCCUACGGGAGGCAGCAGUAGGGAAUCUUCCACAAUGGACGAAAGUCUGAUGGAGCAACGCCGCGUGAGUGAAGAAGGGUUUCGGCUCGUAAAGCUCUGUUGGUAGUGAAGAAAGAUAGAGGUAGUAACUGGCCUUUAUUUGACGGUAAUUACUUAGAAAGUCACGGCUAACUACGUGCCAGCAGCCGCGGUAAUACGUAGGUGGCAAGCGUUGUCCGGAUUUAUUGGGCGUAAAGCGAGUGCAGGCGGUUCAAUAAGUCUGAUGUGAAAGCCUUCGGCUCAACCGGAGAAUUGCAUCAGAAACUGUUGAACUUGAGUGCAGAAGAGGAGAGUGGAACUCCAUGUGUAGCGGUGGAAUGCGUAGAUAUAUGGAAGAACACCAGUGGCGAAGGCGGCUCUCUGGUCUGCAACUGACGCUGAGGCUCGAAAGCAUGGGUAGCGAACAGGAUUAGAUACCCUGGUAGUCCAUGCCGUAAACGAUGAGUGCUAAGUGUUGGGGAGUUUCCCGCCUCUCAGUGCUGCAGCUAACGCAUUAAGCACUCCG